GAGUAGGUGAGAGGGAAGUAGAAUUCCAGGUGUAGCGGUGAAAUGCGUAGAGAUCUGGAGGAAUACCGAUGGCGAAGGCAGCUUCCUGGCAUCAUACUGACACUGAGGCUCGAAAGCGUGGGUAGCAAACAGGAUUAGAUACCCGAGUAGUCCAAGGGACAU
Molecule: ribosomal RNA, 162 nt
Filed under: uncultured Moraxellaceae bacterium
Lineage: Bacteria; Pseudomonadati; Pseudomonadota; Gammaproteobacteria; Moraxellales; Moraxellaceae
Description: partial 16S ribosomal RNA
Rfam family: Bacterial small subunit ribosomal RNA
Source: RNAcentral